GAAAGCGGAAUUCCUUGGUGUAGCGGUGGAAUGCGGUAGAUAUCAGGAAGAACACCGACGGCGAAGGCAGCUUUCUGGCUGGCAACUGACCUGAUGAACGAAAGCUAGGGUAGCGAACAGGAUUAGAUACCUGGUAGUCCUAGCUGUAAACGUUGUGCACUGGAUGUGGGCGGAUUUGGUCCCGUCUGUGUCUGAGCGAAGGCGUUAAGUGCACCGCCUGGGGACUACGGCCGCAAGGCUAAAACUCAAAGGAAUUGACGGGGGCCCGCACAAGCGGUGGAGCAUGUGGCUCAAUUCGAGGCAACGCGAAGAACCUUACCUGGGUUUGACAUAUACCUGACCGCCGGUGAGAGCCGGUUUCUCUUUGAGCAGGUAUACAGGUGCUGCAUGGCUGUCGACAGCUCGUGCUGUGAAGUGUUCGGUUAAGUCCGGCAACGAGCGCAACCCACGCUGUUAGUUACCAUCAGGUAAUGCUGGGGACUCUAACAGGACUGCCCGUGCUAAGCGGGAGGAAGGCGUGGACGACGUCAAGUCCGCAUGGCCCUUACGCCCAGGGCUGCACACGUGCUACAAUGGCCGGUACAGAGGGUCGCCACUCUGCGAAGAGGAGCUAAUCCCGAAAACCGGCCCCAGUUCGGAUUGGAGUCUGCAACCCGACUCCAUGAAGUAGGAAUCGCUAGUAAAGGCGUAUCAGCAACGGCGCCUUGAAUCUGUUCCCGGGCCUUGUACACACCGCCCGUCACAUCAUGGAAGCCGGCUGCACCCGAAGUCGCUAUCCGUUUUACGGAGGCGCCGAAGGUGUGGCUGGUAACUGGGAUGAAGUCGUAACAAGGUAACCAAGGGCGAA
This 847-nucleotide ribosomal RNA is filed under the name uncultured organism. RNAcentral's name for it is "bacterial SSU rRNA". It matches the Rfam family "Bacterial small subunit ribosomal RNA", at positions 657 to 1510 of the family's 1533-position model. The record is from RNAcentral.